UAAAAUAAUUAAGGGCACACAAAGGAUGCCUAGGUAGUAAGAGCCGAUGAAGGACGUGGUAAGCUGCGAUAAGCCUAGAUAAGUUGCAAUCGAACGUAAGAGUCUAGGAUUUCCGAAUGGAGCAAUCUAUUAAGAUGGAGUCUUAAUACGAAAGAGGGAACCGCGUGAACUGAAACAUCUAAGUAACGCGAGGAAAAGAAAGUAAAAACGAUACCCAAAGUAGCGGCGAGCGAAAUGGGUCAAGCCUAAACCUUAAAUAUGUCAAGGAUACAGCCGUUGUAUUUAAGGGGUUGAGGGACAGAGUAGUGAAGAACUGUAAGAUAUUCAAUAUAGUGUAUUGAUGAAUUGGAAUUGUCUGGAAAGGCGAACCGUAGAAGGUGAAAGUCCUGUACAAGUAAAUCCUUACACAUAUAACUCUGCUCCCAAGUAACAUGGAACACGAGGAAUUCUGUGUGAAUCUGUGAGGACCAUAUCUCAUAAGGCUAAAUACUCUUACUAACCGAUAGCGCAUAGUACCGUGAGGGAAAGGUGAAAAGAACCCCUGGAGGGGAGUGAAAUAGAACCUGAAAUUGUGUGCUUACAAGCGGUCAGAGCCAGUAAUGGUGAUGGCGUGCCUUUUGGAGAAUGAUCCUGCGAGUUACGUUAAACGGCGAGGUUAAGUAUAACGGAGCCGAAGGGAAACCAAGUCUUAAUAGGGCGAUUUAGUCGUUUGGCGUAGACGCGAAACCUGGUGAUCUAAACCUGUCCAGGAUGAAGCUGUGGUAAGACACAGUGGAGGUCCUAACCCACCGCCGUUGAAAAGUUGGGGGAUGAGGUAGGUUUAGGGGUGAAAAGCCAAUCGAACCAGGAGAUAGCUCGUUCUCUCCGAAAUGUAUCUAGGUACAGCCUUGAGUGUUCAAUUAUGGGGGUAGAGCACUGAAUGAUCUAGGGGGCGUAUUGCUUACUGAAAUCAAUCAAACUCCGAAUACCAUAAUUUAUAGCUCAGGAGUGAGACUAUGGGAGUUAACUUCCAUUGUCGAAAGGGAAACAACCCAGACCACCAGCUAAGGUCCCUAAUUAUAACUAAGUGGGAAAGGAGGUGGAGAUUCACAAACAACUAGGAGGUUGGCUUAGAAGCAGCCAUACCUUUAAAGAGUGCGUAAUAGCUCACUAGUCGAGAGUCUCUGCGCCGACAAUGUAACGGGGCUAAGUUAUAAACCGAAGCUGUGGAAUCCGUAAGGAUUGGUAGGAGAGCGUUCUGUAGGCCGUUGAAGGAGAAGGGUAACCGACUCUGGAGGUAUCAGAAGUGAGAAUGCAGGAAUAAGUAGCGAGAAAGGGGGCGAGAAUCCCCCUCGCCGGAAGACCAAGGUUUUCAGGGUAAAGCUUGUCUUCCCUGAGUAAGCCGGGACCUAAGCCCAGGCUAUAAUGCGUAGGCGAAUGGAAAACAGAUUAAUAUUUCUGUGCCAGUCAUAUAUUGUGAUGGAGGGACGCAGAAGGGUAUGCGCGCGGACGAACGGAAGUGUCCGUAGAAGUAUGUAGGAUGACUUGAUAGGAAAAUCCAUUGAGUUAUAUCUGAGGUAUGAUAUACAGUCGUAAGAUGAAUGCGCAAAUCCCACGCUGCCAAGAAAAGCUUCUAACGUUAAUAUUUGACUGCCCGUACUGCAAACCGACACAGGUGGUCAGGAUGAGAAAUCUAAGGCGGACAGGCUAACUCUCGUUAAGGAACUCUGCAAAAUAACCUCGUAACUUCGGGAGAAGAGGAGCCCUUGAGGGUCAGUAUCCACGCGAUACAAAGCGCUCGAGGGUCGCAGUGAAGAGGCUCAAGCAACUGUUUAACAAAAACACAGGUCUAUGCUAAGCUGGAAGGCGAUGUAUAUGGGCUGACACCUGCCCAGUGCUGGAAGGUUAAGAGGAGGAGUGAGAGCUCCGAAUUGAAGCCCCAGUGAACGGCGGCCGUAACUAUAACGGUCCUAAGGUAGCGAAAUUCCUUGUCGGGUAAGUUCCGACC
Molecule: ribosomal RNA, 1987 nt
Filed under: human oral metagenome
Description: bacterial LSU rRNA
Rfam family: Bacterial large subunit ribosomal RNA
Source: RNAcentral